CGCACCUUGCACUCCUUGGUAUUCCGAGGAGUAUGCCUGUUCGAGUGUCAUGAAAUUAUCAAACUGCAUGCAUUUGCAGCUUGGAUCUGGAGACUGUCGGUCGCAAGAUUGACUUCUCUGAAAUGUAUUAGCUGGACGAUUGUAAGCUAACGUGUUAGUAGAUCUAUACACUGCGGCUGACGGUUCCGACGGCUGACAGAAAACCCCUUCAUUUCAUUCUUUGACCUCGAAUCAGGUAGGACUACCCGCUGAACUUAA
Molecule: unclassified non-coding RNA, 258 nt
Filed under: Phlebiella borealis
Lineage: Eukaryota; Fungi; Basidiomycota; Agaricomycetes; Xenasmatellaceae
Description: partial contains 5.8S ribosomal RNA, internal transcribed spacer 2, and large subunit ribosomal RNA
Source: RNAcentral